AUGCUGGAGGUAUCAGAAGUGCGAAUGCUGACAUAAGUAACGAUAAAGCGGGUGAAAAGCCCGCUCGCCGGAAGACCAAGGGUUCCUGUCCAACGUUAAUCGGGGCAGGGUGAGUCGACCCCUAAGGCGAGGCCGAAAGGCGUAGUCGAUGGGAAACAGGUUAAUAUUCCUGUACUUGGUGUUACUGCGAAGGGGGGACGGAGAAGGCUAUGUUGGCCGGGCGACGGUUGUCCCGGUUUAAGCGUGUAGGCUGGUUUUCCAGGCAAAUCCGGAAAAUCAAGGCUGAGGCGUGAUGACGAGGCACUACGGUGCUGAAGCAACAAAUGCCCUGCUUCCAGGAAAAGCCUCUAAGCAUCAGGUAACAUCAAAUCGUACCCCAAACCGACACAGGUGGUCAGGUAGAGAAUACCAAGGCGCUUGAGAGAACUCGGGUGAAGGAACUAGGCAAAAUGGUGCCGUAACUUCGGGAGAAGGCACGCUGAUAUGUAGGUGAGGUCCCUCGCGGAUGGAGCUGAAAUCAGUCGAAGAUACCAGCUGGCUGCAACUGUUUAUUAAAAACACAGCACUGUGCAAACACGAAAGUGGACGUAUACGGUGUGACGCCUGCCCGGUGCCGGAAGGUUAAUUGAUGGGGUUAGCGCAAGCGAAGCUCUUGAUCGAAGCCCCGGUAAACGGCGGCCGUAACUAUAACGGUCCUAAGGUAGCGAAAUUCCUUGUCGGGUAAGUUCCGACCUGCACGAAUGGCGUAAUGAUGGCCAGGCUGUCUCCACCCGAGACUCAGUGAAAUUGAACUCGCUGUGAAGAUGCAGUGUACCCGCGGCAAGACGGAAAGACCCCGUGAACCUUUACUAUAGCUUGACACUGAACAUUGAGCCUUGAUGUGUAGGAUAGGUGGGAGGCUUAGAAGUGUGGACGCCAGUCUGCAUGGAGCCGACCUUGAAAUACCACCCUUUAAUGUUUGAUGUUCUAACGUUGACCCGUAAUCCGGGUUGCGGACAGUGUCUGGUGGGUAGUUUGACUGGGGCGGUCUCCUCCUAAAGAGUAACGGAGGAGCACGAAGGUUGGCUAAUCCUGGUCGGACAUCAGGAGGUUAGUGCAAUGGCAUAAGCCAGCUUGACUGCGAGCGUGACGGCGCGAGCAGGUGCGAAAGCAGGUCAUAGUGAUCCGGUGGUUCUGAAUGGAAGGGCCAUCGCUCAACGGAUAAAAGGUACUCCGGGGAUAACAGGCUGAUACCGCCCAAGAGUUCAUAUCGACGGCGGUGUUUGGCACCUCGAUGUCGGCUCAUCACAUCCUGGGGCUGAAGUAGGUCCCAAGGGUAUGGCUGUUCGCCAUUUAAAGUGGUACGCGAGCUGGGUUUAGAACGUCGUGAGACAGUUCGGUCCCUAUCUGCCGUGGGCGCUGGAGAACUGAGGGGGGCUGCUCCUAGUACGAGAGGACCGGAGUGGACGCAUCACUGGUGUUCGGGUUGUCAUGCCAAUGGCACUGCCCGGUAGCUAAAUGCGGAAGAGAUAAGUGCUGAAAGCAUCUAAGCACGAAACUUGCCCCGAGAUGAGUUCU
Molecule: ribosomal RNA, 1557 nt
Filed under: Escherichia coli
Lineage: Bacteria; Pseudomonadati; Pseudomonadota; Gammaproteobacteria; Enterobacterales; Enterobacteriaceae
Description: bacterial LSU rRNA
Rfam family: Bacterial large subunit ribosomal RNA
Source: RNAcentral